ACACCUCACCCCCUCGGGUUUCCGAUUGGGUGGAUUUGGGUGCUGCCAGUUACAUGGCUCGCCUUAAAAGCAUUAGCGGUUGUUGGCGUAAUAAGUUUCGUCUUUGUCAGCCGCUUCUAAUCUCCUUCGGGAUGUCUUUCAUAGACAAUUCAUG
RNAcentral lists this unclassified non-coding RNA (154 nucleotides) under Vishniacozyma globispora. Its description in RNAcentral is "Vishniacozyma globospora sequence contains ITS2". The record is from RNAcentral. Lineage: Eukaryota; Fungi; Basidiomycota; Tremellomycetes; Tremellales; Bulleribasidiaceae.